UUUGCAAUGGCUCAGUGGUAGAGCACUUGCCUAGCAUGCAUGAAGCACUGGGUUCGAUCCCCGGCACCAAAU
Molecule: transfer RNA, 72 nt
Filed under: Ictidomys tridecemlineatus (thirteen-lined ground squirrel)
Lineage: Eukaryota; Metazoa; Chordata; Mammalia; Rodentia; Sciuridae
Description: Spermophilus tridecemlineatus (thirteen-lined ground squirrel) tRNA
Rfam family: tRNA
About the family: Transfer RNA (tRNA) molecules are approximately 80 nucleotides in length. Their secondary structure includes four short double-helical elements and three loops (D, anti-codon, and T loops).
Source: Rfam by way of RNAcentral